UACGGAGGGGGCUAGCGUUGUUCGGAAUUACUGGGCGUAAAGCGCACGUAGGCGGCUUUGUAAGUUAGAGGUGAAAGCCCGGGGCUCAACCUCGGAAUUGCCUUCAAUACUGGCUGUCUUGAGUGUGAGAGAGGUGUGUGGAACUCCGAGUGUAGAGGUGAAAUUCGUAGAUAUUCGGAAGAACACCAGUGGCGAAGGCGACACACUGGCUCACUACUGACGCUGAGGCGCGAAAGCGUGGGGAGCAAACAGG
RNAcentral lists this ribosomal RNA (253 nucleotides) under uncultured bacterium. Its description in RNAcentral is "partial 16S ribosomal RNA". It matches the Rfam family "Bacterial small subunit ribosomal RNA", at positions 524 to 776 of the family's 1533-position model. The record is from RNAcentral.